CAGUAGCCGCGGUAAUACGAAGGGGGCUAGCGUUGCUCGGAAUGACUGGGCGUAAAGGGCGCGUAGGCGGAUGGCUUUGUCGGGCGUGAAAUUCCAGGGCUUAACCUUGGGGCUGCGUUCGAGACGGGUUGUCUUGAGUAUGGAAGAGGGUCGUGGAAUUCCCAGUGUAGAGGUGAAAUUCGUAGAUAUUGGGAAGAACACCGGUGGCGAAGGCGGCGACCUGGUCCAUUACUGACGCUGAGGCGCGAAAGCGUGGGGAGCAAACAGGAUUAGAUACCCCCGUAGUCCCUGUCUCUUAUAC
Molecule: ribosomal RNA, 301 nt
Filed under: uncultured bacterium
Lineage: Bacteria
Description: partial 16S ribosomal RNA
Rfam family: Bacterial small subunit ribosomal RNA
Source: RNAcentral